AUUCUUAUCACAUUCAUUGACAUCUGCAACAGCAAAGAACCGAAUUAUUUGGGGUCAAGUGAUUGAAUGAAUAGUAAAGCGUGAAAAAAAAUCUGCAUAUGAGUACCAAUAAAUACUAAUUGUCAAAUGGCAUAAUGACUGACACGUUUGCCAUUCUUCCACCAAAGUAAAGAUGAAUUACAUCAAGGAGAGAAAAAUGAGGAAAAGAUGAUCUGCACGAUUGUGCAUGAUCUAAAGAUGCACAUGGAGCAAAGAUAUGAACUGAACUUGCCUCUGCAUCCGUCAAAGAGAUAAUUCUUUGCCAGAAGAUUUUGCUGCUGUCCAUGCCAUCUUGGAGAUGUUUGGUAAUGCAUCCGGGCUGAGAACUAACAUUGCGAAGAGUGUGGUCUAUCCUAUUUCCUGUGAUGGUAUCAAUUUAUCUCCUAUGCCGAGUGAUUUUGGUGCAGUGCACGCUUCUUUGCCUCGCCGGAAUCUGGGUUUUCUUCUAGGGUUCAGAAAGCUGAGGAGGGCUGAGCUGCAGCCGUUGCUUGACAAGAUGUAGCUGCGAAGGUUGCAGCAGAUCAGUAGUACCAAGAUGUAGCUGGAACCAAUUCAUGCUUCUUUGCAAGAAAUUACAGCCGGAGACUUGAGGUCUUUGCAAGAAAUUACAGCCAGAGACUUGAGGUCUCUGAAUGCGGUUCAGUUCUUCCCGAGACUUGAGCGGACUGAUCUUGCAAGAGUUUGGCUGAUUCAGGCUGAAUGGUAGGUGAGGUUUGUUUUUCCUCUGGCCGCCAUUUCAAAAUAGGAACUGGACGGCUGACGGGCCACAUGCGAGUGGCUGUCCGCACGAGAGACUUUUGCCGCCUGUGCGAUCAGGAGCAAAAGAAUGCUGGCCAUCUGACCCUGCAUUGCUGUUACGCGGAGGAAGGAGGUGUGGCAUUGAUUUCAGAAUUCCAGCGGUAGAGUGUGUUCAACUGUUUCUUUGGCAUUGAUGACAAUCCGGUUAUGGUGGAGGAGGAUUUGCUGGGGCGGCGGCUCGCGAGGCAAGAAGAAGAAAAUCUGUAAUCAAAUAAUUUCAAACAAAAAUCAGUACCUGCGUAUGUUGCCGGGAUAUGGAGGAAGUUGCGACAAUGAUCCAGUUCGUGCCCAGAAGCGCUUCCAACUGAAGCAAAGCGCGGUAUGCAGCAACUGUGCUCAUGAACUCAUCUUCAACAAAAUGGGCCGAGUUCUGCACCUGUCAACUAUUUUUUUUCCCUGAAAAA
Molecule: long non-coding RNA, 1241 nt
Organism: Hordeum vulgare subsp. vulgare (domesticated barley)
Lineage: Eukaryota; Viridiplantae; Streptophyta; Magnoliopsida; Poales; Poaceae
Exons: 3
Source: RefSeq, a predicted model, not a curated record